GAUGAACGCUGGCGGCGUGCCUAAUACAUGCAAGUCGAGCGAAGAGACGAGGAGCUUGCUCCUCUGACGUUAGCGGCGGACGGGUGAGUAACACGUGGAUACCAACCUUUAACGUUGGGUUAAACUUCGGAAAGCGGGGUCAACUCCCGACAAAUAUUUUGACCCACUGGGUUCAUUGGUAAAGGACGGUUUUUUGGUCCCUUGAGGAUGGUUCGGCGCCGCAUUGGCUAGUUGGUAGGGUAAGGGCUUACCAAGGCGACGGUGCGUAGCCGACCGGAGGGGGUGAUCGGCCACACUGGACCUGAGACACGGCCCGGACUCCUACGGGAGGCAGCAGUAGGGAAUCUUCCGCAAUGGGCGAAAGCCUGACGGAGCAACGCCGCGUGGGUGAUGAAGGUCUUCGGAUCGUAAAACUCUGUUAUUGGGGAGGAACAAAUGUGUAAGUAACUAUGCACGUCUUGACGGUACCUAAUCAGAAAGCCACGGCUAACUACGUG
This 497-nucleotide ribosomal RNA is filed under the name uncultured bacterium. Its description in RNAcentral is "partial 16S ribosomal RNA". It matches the Rfam family "Bacterial small subunit ribosomal RNA", at positions 28 to 507 of the family's 1533-position model. The record is from RNAcentral.